ACUUACUUUGCUGCUCUUCCAUAUAAAUAUGGGGUGUAGAAGUGGUGUAUUUAUUUUUCCUGUUAUUGAUACUGUUGGAUAGACACUGGGAUUUUACAUUCCCGUACGCAUUCUCUGCGCCCCGCCUCUCCUGUCAAUGUCACUUGAUAGCCUAGGACUUUUAGAGCGCCUUUACGCAUUGCUAAAAUACAGCAAAUAGCUUUCCCAUCAGUGUUUUGAAUAGACUACAAAUAUGUAAUCCGAUCUGAUCAAAUGGGAUAGAUUGUAGUUUAUUUCAUAUAUCAAGAGCGUCCAUUUUGGAAAUGGAGGACUCCGGUUAUUGGCAUCACUGAGGAUACUGGGUGGGGGGUGCGGUUGUAAGUCAGAUGUUUUUAUGAGGGACGGAGUUGUUCCAAAUGCUUGCUUUUCUGUUAAUGCCACAUAAGAAGUGUUGAUGGUUUCCAAGUCUCCCCUCCCACCCCCUAAAAAACACACUAUGCUUUGGGAAGGCUAGAGGGAAAAACGGGUCAAUCGACAGCUUUUAAUGGUGGACUCCAAUCAAGUUGUAGAAACAUCUCAAGGAUGCUCAAUGGAAACAGGAUGCACAUGAGCUCAAUUGAGAGGCUCAUUGCAAAGGGUCUGAAUACUGAUGUAAACAAGGUCUAUGAUUUUUAAAUUCUCU
Oncorhynchus keta (chum salmon) is the source of this 661-nucleotide long non-coding RNA. RefSeq lists it as uncharacterized. The transcript has 3 exons. NCBI's taxonomy places the organism in Eukaryota, Metazoa, Chordata, Actinopteri, Salmoniformes, Salmonidae. The record is from RefSeq and is a predicted model, not a curated record.